UACGAAGGGGGCUAGCGUUGCUCGGAAUUACUGGGCGUAAAGGGCGCGUAGGCGGAUGUUUAAGUCGGGGGUGAAAGCCCAGGGCUCAACCCUGGAAUUGCCUUCGAUACUGGACAUCUUGAGUACGGGAGAGGUGAGUGGAACUCCGAGUGUAGAGGUGAAAUUCGUAGAUAUUCGGAAGAACACCAGUGGCGAAGGCGACUCACUGGCCCGUUACUGACGCUGAGGCGCGAAAGCGUGGGGAGCAAACAGG
RNAcentral lists this ribosomal RNA (253 nucleotides) under uncultured Phenylobacterium sp. RNAcentral's name for it is "partial 16S ribosomal RNA". It matches the Rfam family "Bacterial small subunit ribosomal RNA", at positions 524 to 776 of the family's 1533-position model. Lineage: Bacteria; Pseudomonadati; Pseudomonadota; Alphaproteobacteria; Caulobacterales; Caulobacteraceae. The record is from RNAcentral.